Molecule: ribosomal RNA, 867 nt
Filed under: uncultured Escherichia sp.
Lineage: Bacteria; Pseudomonadati; Pseudomonadota; Gammaproteobacteria; Enterobacterales; Enterobacteriaceae
Description: bacterial SSU rRNA
Rfam family: Bacterial small subunit ribosomal RNA
Source: RNAcentral
CUUAUUCUUUAGUAAGUCGAGCGGUAGCACGAAGGAGCUUGCUUCUUUGCUGAAGAGUGGCGGACGGGUGAGUAAUGUCUGGGAAACUGCCUGAUGGAGGGGGAUAACUACUGGAAACGGUAGCUAAUACCGCAUAACGUCGCAAGACCAUUGAGGGGGACCUUCGGGCCUCUUGCCAUCGGAUGUGCCCAGAUGGUAUUAGGUUGUUGGUGGGGUAACGGCUCACCUACCUUGACUCUCCCUAGCUGGUCUGAGAGGAUGACCAGCCCCACUGGAACUGAGACACGGUCCAUACUCCUACCGGAGGGAUCAGUGGGGAAUAUUGCACAAUGGGCGCGGGCCUGAUGCAGCCAUGCCGCGUGUAUGAAGACCUUCUUCGGGUUGUAUAGUACUUUCAGCGAGGAGGAAGGGAGUAAAGUUAAUACCUUUGCUCAUUGACGUUACCCGCAGAAUAAGCACCUGCUAACUCCCUGCCAGCUGCCGCGGUAAUACGGAGGGUGCAAGCGUUCUUCGUAAUUACUGUGCGUAGUUUUCACGCAGGCGGUUUGUCCAGUCGGAUGUGAUAUCCCCGGGCUCAACCUGGGAACUGCAUCUGAUACUGGCUUGCUUGAGUCUCGUAGAGGGCGGUAGAAGGUUGUGUGUAGCGGUGAAAUGCAUAUAGAUCUGGAGGAAUACCGGUGGCGAAGGCUGCCCCCUGGACGAAGACUGACGCUCAUGUGCGAAAGCGUGGAUCAGCAUACUAUGAUUAUAUUCCCUGGUAGUCCACGCCGUAAACGAUGUCCACCCGGAGGUUGUGCCCUUGAGGCGCGGCUUCAGGAGCUCACGCGUUUGUCCACCGCCUGGAAUGUACGGCCGCUAAGUUAAAAC